UCAGUCACAUAUCUAGUGUCUA
Molecule: microRNA, 22 nt
Filed under: Homo sapiens (human)
Lineage: Eukaryota; Metazoa; Chordata; Mammalia; Primates; Hominidae
Description: hsa-miR-4704-3p
Source: miRBase by way of RNAcentral